CUCAGAUCCACACUGCAAGGAAGAAAUACACAUAGACAACAUGAAAAAACAAGGGAGGAAAGUGCUCCAAACAAACUAGGAUAGUAUAAUAACAUAACCUAUGUACAGUGAAGUUGAUGAAAUGUCAGAGAAGAAGUUCAGAAGGUUCAUAAUUAAAAUGAUCUGUGAAUUAAAGAAUGGCCUAAAUGAGCAAAUACAGGCAAAAAUUGAUCACUCCAACAAAAAGAUAAGAGAGCAAAUACAGGUAGCAAAGGAUUACUUCAAGACAGAGAUAGAGACUCUGAAAAAUUAACCAGUAAAAAAAAAUCCUUAAAUUGAAGGAUGCAAUAAAUCAAAUAAAAAAUCAAUAGAAAACAUAACCAAAAGACUAGAUUAUUUGGAAGAAAGAACGUCAGAUAAUGAAGACAAAGUAUACAAUCUAGAAAAUAAAGUUGAUCACACAGUGAAGAUAGUAAGAAACCAUAAACAGAACAUACAAGAAUUAUUUGACUGCAUCAAAAGAUCAAAUAUAAGAGUUAUUGGGAUACAGGAAGGCACAGAGUUUCAAACCAAAGGAAUGCACAAUCUCUUUAAUGAGAUAACAUCAGAAAAUUUCCCAAGCAUGAAGAACGAAAUGAAAAACCAAAUACAAGAGGCUUACAGGACACCAAAUGUACAAAAUUACAACAGAUCUACACCAAUUCACAUUAUAAUGAAAAUGCCUAGCAUACAGAAUAAGAAUAGAAUCUUAAAGCCUGCAAGAGAAAGAAAUCAGAUCACAUAUUGAGGGAGACCAAUUUGUAUCUCAGCAGAUAUUUUAACCCAGACCCUCAAAGCCAGGAAAUUAUGGAACAACGUAUACCAAGCUCUGAUAGAAAAAUGGAUGCCAACCAAGAAUCUUCUAUCCAGCAAAACUAAGCUUUAAAUUAGAUGAUGAAAUAAAAACCUUCCAUGAUAAACAAAAGUUAAAAGAAUUUUCAACUAGAA
RNAcentral lists this long non-coding RNA (966 nucleotides) under Marmota monax (woodchuck). The record is from RNAcentral. Lineage: Eukaryota; Metazoa; Chordata; Mammalia; Rodentia; Sciuridae.